RNAcentral lists this long non-coding RNA (223 nucleotides) under Lathyrus oleraceus (garden pea). RNAcentral describes it as "Pisum sativum (pea) long non-coding RNA (PSAT_LNC010916)". The record is from RNAcentral. Lineage: Eukaryota; Viridiplantae; Streptophyta; Magnoliopsida; Fabales; Fabaceae.
AUCAAAAAGUCAACUAUUGGUCAAACUUGAUUUUUAAAUGAAAUAGGUCAAAAAAUGCCAUUUUGAUUGGCAAGGUUUUGGUUCAUGAAAUUUAUAUUUUUGGAAAGAGGAGGAAAAAUGUGGUUUGUAGGAAAAAACCCCACCAAAUUUGGCCUUAUGGUUCAUGAGAUAUGGCUCUUUGAAGUUCACAAAUUUUUGAAAUUGAAUUGAUCAUAUCUUGACA